GGGCCGUUGGCGCAGUUGGCUAGCGCGCCUGCAUGACACGCAGGAGGUCACUGGUUCAAGUCCAGUACGGCCCA
Molecule: transfer RNA, 74 nt
Filed under: Phycisphaeraceae bacterium
Lineage: Bacteria; Pseudomonadati; Planctomycetota; Phycisphaerae; Phycisphaerales; Phycisphaeraceae
Also listed under: 1 other name
Description: tRNA-Val
Rfam family: tRNA
About the family: Transfer RNA (tRNA) molecules are approximately 80 nucleotides in length.
Source: RNAcentral